This 2000-nucleotide long non-coding RNA is filed under the name Mus musculus (house mouse). RNAcentral's name for it is "long non-coding RNA chr5:3803181-3805181". The record is from RNAcentral. Lineage: Eukaryota; Metazoa; Chordata; Mammalia; Rodentia; Muridae.
CCGGUAGCGGUGGGAUGGCGAGCUGAGGCCUUUGGGAGCCCGAAGCUGGUGGAGAGGCUGAAGGGUUCCUGGAGCCGAGGGAGAGGAAGGACGGUGGGGAACAGGUGCCCUGAGACCCGAACUCGCGGGGCGGCUUUUGGUGACAAUCCAGGGGCUUCCUGCCACAGGAAGUUGGGGUGGGCCUCCUAGAUAGGCAGAAGGAAUGAGAAAACGGUGACGGGCUGGCUCCGCCAUCCUUCGACUGCCGCCCCACCCACUGACUUGGAUGUAGCGGCUCGGGAGAGGAUCCGCCGCCCGCCCGGGUGAGUCUUUCCCGUUUCCUUGGCGGAAACAAGGAAAGCAAGGCAAGAAGAGCCAGACGCCGGCUGGAGCCAACGGCAGGAGCACCGAAGCUCGCCCACGAGGCUCUGCAUCAAGGCGUGUUGUUUCUUACACGCCGGUACCGAAAAGUCACCGGCGUCUCUUGGGUGGGAACUUUUGGAGCAAAAGCAGCUUUGCAUUUUUCCCGGUAGGGGAGCACUGGUGGGUGGUGCCAAGGGAAAGACUUCCCAGGCAGUGUUGUCAUUGCCAGGACAGUGACAGCUUAUCGAUUGUAGCUGUCUUCUCCCAUCUAUCCGAGUUCUUCCUUUAUGUCUCCUUUUGGCUUGCACUCUCUGCUCUCUCCUCCCCUCGGUCUUUGUAACUUCACCAGAAGCCUUGAUGUGGUUGGCCGACCUCAAGAUUUCAGCUCCAUUCCUGUCCUGCUCUCUCAGGGAACUUAGCGUGUCUUUAUUGUAAACAAACUCACUGACCCACAAAGGAGUAAUUACCCCUGCUGUGGGCACUAAGUGAAAAUUGUAUGCCUCUCCUUUGUCAAUCAUAAUGAAAAUCAACAAUAUCCCUGCAUAUUUUUUAAAAAAAUCGCAGACAGCCCUCCAAGUUAUGAACCAUCUCCACUUACAUAAGUCCUCAUUUUUUAGGCAGCAUAUCAUUCAUGCCUGAGCAUUUCUCCAGUGCAGUGAGCCAUAUAGCAUAUUAGCAAUGGCUUUAUUUAUUUUUAUUCUUUUGACUAGUUCUCUCUUCCUGUCGGUUUCAGUUGCACCAGCUUCACCUUCAUCGCUGGUAGCUUUUGUUGUUUUCCUGGCUUCAACCUUUGUUUCCUUUUAUGUCAUUGGAAGACUAUUUUAAGUGCUCCAGUACAAAUACUUUUUUAAAAAUAAACUUAAAAUAAAAAAAAAAAGAAUUUUUGCGAAUAUGUUGCUAGCAGUAAGUUUGUUUUAUAUAUUUAAAAUAUGAGUAUUUAAAAUAUAUAAUGAGUAUUCACAAAUGAAACACUUUGCUAAUAGACGUUUUCUUAUGAAUUGAUUGAGAUAAGAAUUGGUUUACUUUAAAUUCUGUGCAGAAAGUUAACUACUUAGUUUCUCCUUUAGGUACUUUAUAGAAAGCAUCAUUUUCUAUAGUUGCCAUGUUCUUUGUACAGUGUCUAUAAUACAGUGUCUUUUUAAGAGGUUUGCAGUUUUUAAGGCUUUCAUACAUAUGUAUAUAUCUUGUUUAUAGUUUAUUAUGUUUUAGUCGGUGUUAAUCUGAGAUGAAAAGCAGUUGCUAAACAGGAAGUUUUAAGAAAAGCCUUUUUUUUUCUAUAGGCAGCUCUUUUGCAUGUAGUGGAUUUUUAGAAUGUUCUUAUUAAAAUUUUUUUAUCUAAAAAAAAAUUCCAUGAACUAUCCUCAAAACUUUAAACAAGAUGAAAUGUCUUCAUCCUAAUGUUUCAUUCAAACGUCUUCAAGGAAAGACCUUUAGUUUCGGCUGUCCCUGUCUCUGUUGCCUGGCUUUGGGACCCUUCCCCCUAACUAGGCUGCCUCUUCCAGCUCAAUAGGAGAAGAUGCACAUAAUCUUACUGAAAUUUGACUUGAAGGCUGGUUGAUAGCCUUGGGAUGUCUCCCUCCCCUUUUCUGAAGAGAAAAGGAGAGUCUUAGGGGAGAGGAGGGAGGGGAAACCUUAGUUGAGAUGUAACAUAACUAAAU